This 471-nucleotide ribosomal RNA is filed under the name Tetrahymena sp. DLTH182-08. RNAcentral's name for it is "SSU rRNA". It matches the Rfam family "Eukaryotic small subunit ribosomal RNA", at positions 1317 to 1831 of the family's 1831-position model. Lineage: Eukaryota; Ciliophora; Oligohymenophorea; Hymenostomatida; Tetrahymenidae. The record is from RNAcentral.
GGUAUUCCGUUACGAACGAGACCUUAACCUGCUAACUAGUCUGCUUGUAAAUAACAGGUUGUACUUCUUAGAGGGACUAUUGUGCAAUAAGCCAAUGGAAGUUUAAGGCAAUAACAGGUCUGUGAUGCCCCUAGACGUGCUCGGCCGCACGCGCGUUACAAUGACUGGCGCAAAAAGUAUUUCCUGUCCUGGGAAGGUACGGGUAAUCUUAUUAAUACCAGUCGUGUUAGGGAUAGUUCUUUGGAAUUGUGGAUCUUGAACGAGGAAUUUCUAGUAAGUGCAAGUCAUCAGCUUGCGUUGAUUAUGUCCCUGCCGUUUGUACACACCGCCCGUCGCUUGUAGUAACGAAUGGUCUGGUGAACCUUCUGGACUGCGACAGCAAUGUUGCGGAAAAAUAAGUAAACCCUACCAUUUGGAACAACAAGAAGUCGUAACAAGGUAUCUGUAGGUGAACCUGCAGAUGGAUCAUUA